GUUAAUGUAGCUUAAACAAUAAAGCAGGGCACUGAAAAUGCCCAGAUGAGCCACCCCGGCUCCAUAAACA
This 70-nucleotide transfer RNA is filed under the name Dendrohyrax dorsalis (Western tree hyrax). Its description in RNAcentral is "transfer RNA-Phe". It matches the Rfam family "tRNA". From Rfam's summary of the family: Transfer RNA (tRNA) molecules are approximately 80 nucleotides in length. Their secondary structure includes four short double-helical elements and three loops (D, anti-codon, and T loops). Lineage: Eukaryota; Metazoa; Chordata; Mammalia; Hyracoidea; Procaviidae. RNAcentral also lists the same sequence under 1 other name. The record is from RNAcentral.